RNAcentral lists this ribosomal RNA (596 nucleotides) under uncultured beta proteobacterium. RNAcentral describes it as "bacterial SSU rRNA". It matches the Rfam family "Bacterial small subunit ribosomal RNA", at positions 329 to 915 of the family's 1533-position model. The record is from RNAcentral. Lineage: Bacteria; Pseudomonadati; Pseudomonadota; Betaproteobacteria.
AGAGUCACUCCUACGGGAGGCAGCAGUGGGGAAUCUUGCACAAUGGGGGAAACCCUGAUGCAGCGACGCCGCGUGAGUGAUGAAGGCCUUCGGGUCGUAAAGCUCUGUCGGAGGGAACGAAUGCUUUUGAGGUUAACAGCCUCAGAAAGUGACGGUACCCUCAAAGGAAGCACCGGCUAACUACGUGCCAGCAGCCGCGGUAAUACGUAGGGCGCAAGCGUUGUUCGGAUUUACUGGGCGUAAAGGGCGCGUAGGCGGCCACCGCAAGUCGACUGUGAAAUCUCCCGGGCUUAACUCGGAAAGGUCAGCCGAUACUGCGGGGCUAGAGUGCAGAAGGGGCAACUGGAAUUCUCGGUGUAGCGGUGAAAUGCGUAGAUAUCGAGAGGAACACCUGCGGCGAAGGCAGCCCCCUGGGUCAAUACUGACGCUCAUGCACGAAAGCGUGGGGAGCAAACAGGAUUAGAUACCCUGGUAGUCCACGCCCUAAACGAUGUCAACUGGUUGUCGGGGAAGCAAUUCCUUGGUAACGAAGCUAACGCGUGAAGUUGACCGCCUGGGGAGUACGGCCGCAAGGUUAAAACUUAAAGGAAUUGACG